RNAcentral lists this ribosomal RNA (57 nucleotides) under Halorubrum sodomense. RNAcentral's name for it is "partial 23S rRNA. Archaeal LSU". Lineage: Archaea; Methanobacteriati; Methanobacteriota; Halobacteria; Halobacteriales; Haloferacaceae. The record is from RNAcentral.
GGGGUGUACGCACCGAGGCAACGAGGUGUUAAGCCCACGAGAACUAACAGACCGAGC